AUGACCUUACUUGAACAAGAUCUUUUCUAUGGGCUCAUAACUCUGUAUCUUUGAUUUACAAGGAGGCAGGUGACCAGCUCUGGUGGAUGAAAUGCGAGUACAUAACCAGAUCAGUUGGUCAUUCAAGCAGUAGAGUAACGUCUCCAGAUGGAGUCCUGGCUGGGGUGGUCUGUCAGUUCUCUGACAUACU
RNAcentral lists this small nucleolar RNA (190 nucleotides) under Daucus carota subsp. sativus. Its description in RNAcentral is "snoRNA Plant_U3". It matches the Rfam family "Plant small nucleolar RNA U3". Rfam says of the family: Small nucleolar RNAs (snoRNAs) are involved in the processing and modification of rRNA in the nucleolus. Lineage: Eukaryota; Viridiplantae; Streptophyta; Magnoliopsida; Apiales; Apiaceae. The record is from Rfam by way of RNAcentral.